RNAcentral lists this ribosomal RNA (392 nucleotides) under uncultured bacterium. RNAcentral describes it as "partial 16S ribosomal RNA". It matches the Rfam family "Bacterial small subunit ribosomal RNA", at positions 523 to 918 of the family's 1533-position model. The record is from RNAcentral.
AUACGUAGGUGGCAAGCGUUAUCCGGAUUUAUUGGGUUUAAAGGGAGCGUAGGCGGGAGCUUAAGUCAGCGGUUAAAUGGUGCGGCUCAACCGUGCCCUGCCGUUGAAACUGGGUUUCUUGAGAGUGCAAGAGGCGGAUGGGAUUCAUGGUGUAGCGGGGAAAUGCUUAGAUAUCAUGAAGAACUCCGAUUGCGAAGGCAGUCCGCUGGGGCACGUCUGACGCUGAUGCUCGAAGGUGCGGGAAUCAAACAGGAUUAGAUACCCUGGUAGUCCGCACGGUAAACGAUGAUUACCCGCUGUCGGCGGCAGACAGUCGGCGGCCAAGCGAAAGCGAUAAGUAAUCCACCUGGGGAGUACGCCGGCAACGGUGAAACUCAAAGGAAUUGACGGGG